Non-coding RNA from Callithrix jacchus (white-tufted-ear marmoset), 86 nucleotides. NCBI's taxonomy places the organism in Eukaryota, Metazoa, Chordata, Mammalia, Primates, Cebidae. The record is from Rfam.
UCUCAUGCGGUGAUUCUCCAAGGGGAGGCAUUUUUGUCGUGUGAAAUAAAACAAAGUGCCUCCUUUUAGAGAGUUACUGCUUGAGA